Long non-coding RNA from Oncorhynchus tshawytscha (Chinook salmon), 955 nucleotides. NCBI's taxonomy places the organism in Eukaryota, Metazoa, Chordata, Actinopteri, Salmoniformes, Salmonidae. The record is from Ensembl.
CUUCAGCGUUUCAACAACUCAGCAACUCUCACACUUCAAACUACUACAGAUCAAGGUGAGAAGAGGACAGAGCAACGAAUUGUAGAAAUCUAAGGAUAAUGACAAGUAAGGAAAGGAGAGACACAGGGAAAGCGUGACCCAUGGUUGAAUCUUUCCUGUGCUAGUCAGUGAAUUAUUGUCCAACGGUCCACAUCAAGUCAGCUGAGGCUGACCAACAGUCGCAGAAUGGGGAACACCAACACUGCCAGCCACCUCAACAACCAGAGCAAGAUGAACAUCCGUGCUUUCCUGUCCAAUGCCAAGCUAGAGAUCGAUGCCUUCAUCGUCUCCAAUGCUGCCGCUGGCAGCAGUGACACAUUGACCAAGCUGCAGCAGCAGCCCGGUGGCAAGACGUUCAACUUCAGGAAAGACGUGCAGUGUGUCCGUGUGCUGGCCUUGCAGAGUCAAGAGCUGCCUUGGGUGGAGAACAAAUUUAUCUCCGUCUUUGUGGAGGACGAGAACGAUGAAAACAUAUGUUCCAGACAGAUUGUUCCGUGCAUGGCUUUGUCCUCUCCUGUGUCUUUCAUCUUAUAUAUGAUGUAUAGCUAUAGCAAUGAUUGAUCCCAUUGAAAUUGUACUCUUUGGUUAAUAUCAUUAGAAGGUGCUCUGACCAGUUCCGACAUUGGCCAUUGUCAGGCAUUCACUAAGGUUGUUUCCCUGAUUUUGAAUCUGUUCAUUUGAACAAACAUGCCAUUGAAAAAGAAGGCUUUUCAAAUAAGUCAUCACAGAACAAACCACAAAACACCUCACGAAUGUGAAAAUGCGCAUUUGUACCUGAACAUUUGAAUGUUGACUCAUCUUUCAGUGAAAUGUAACUAAAUCUAUGUCACUUCUUUAGGGACUUUGGUAUCAUUGACAGCUUCUGAAAAACCUGUAUUCUUCUGUAUCCUUCAAAUAAAACUGUUAGAUGACUUCA